UAGCAGUGAUGACCUUCUUAGGGACACCUUUGAUGAAUAAUGAAAAGAACCCAUUUCCCUCUGAGCGCA
This is a small nucleolar RNA of 69 nucleotides. Its record names the gene SNORD58. It matches the Rfam family "Small nucleolar RNA SNORD58". Rfam says of the family: snoRNA U58 is found in introns 1, 3 and 6 of the ribosomal protein RPL17 gene in humans. U58 is a member of the C/D class of snoRNA which contain C (UGAUGA) and D (CUGA) box motifs. The record is from Ensembl.